RNAcentral lists this long non-coding RNA (2996 nucleotides) under Gallus gallus (chicken). Its description in RNAcentral is "lncRNA (ENSGALG00010018018.1)". The record is from RNAcentral. Lineage: Eukaryota; Metazoa; Chordata; Aves; Galliformes; Phasianidae.
AAGUAUGUAACCAGUGCUUUUCUCUGUGUGCGAGUUAGGAGGAGAUAUCCCCCCCCGCACCCGGCGCCGUAAUGAGCGUACCUGCUUUGUAACCUUACGUGGGUUCCAGAGUUUGAUUCCACACGUCACUCCCUUCACUAUUAAGAGGACAAAGAACUUCUGGCACAGAAGGAUGCCCACCUGCAAGGCUCAAAUUGCACGCUGCUUCCUCCCUCUCUGCUCAGUAAAACUCUGUGUUGGGCUCAUUUGGAAGGAAGGUUUGGUGUUCUGACUUCCUGGACAGUUGUUACCUAAAGCCUGGAGUGCCUGUGUCAACUGUGGCGGUGCAACUGCCACACCUUCUCUCCCCCUUCUCUCAGGCCUCUCGGUGCACCACUUCUCCUGAGACAAAAGGCGGAGGACCGGUACGUGGAGGUACUCCUCCUCUUCCCUUGCCCCUGCUUGCCUCUGGGUAGCAAGGGGCAAUGAAUUGGAACAUUAGGGGAUGCCCUAGUUGUAUCUGACUCCUGCUUUGCGCCCCACUGCCCAGGAACAAUCCUGGGGUCAAUCGUCGUCUGACAGCCUGGGACGCGUGAACACGAAUCACGGCUCAGGUGGGGUAGCGUGGAAUCCGUGAGUCCAGCAAGUUCUGGGGUUUGCACAACUGGUAGAAAGAACCAGAAGAUUUUGCCAUGCGAGGGGGCUGGUAUGGAAAAGUAGCCGUCAGAUCUCCAUCGUCUCAGACCCUAUAACUAGAGAUUCAAAGCGAGUGUUAAUCAAUAUCUGAAGGGAAGUGGGAGGAAAAUGGAUGAGGCCAGGCUCUUCUCGGUGGUGCGUAGCGGAGGACAAUGAGCAGUGGCCUAGAACUUGAGCACAGGAAGUUCCAUGCAAACAUGUGGAAGACCUUCUUUACGGUAAGGGUGGGGGAGCCCUGGGACGGGUUGCCCAGAGAGGUGGUGGAGGUUAUGACCAGCAUCUCCUCUGGGUUGGGAUGCCUCUCAGGUACUGCCAAAUCCUCGAGGCCCUCUACCAAUGAUAGUGUACCAAGGAUAGUCUACUGUGCUGUGAUCUUCAGGGACGUUUUCAACACAAGCCAUCCUAUUGUUCUGUGAUCUUCAAGGACACUUCCAAGCGUACAAAAAUCCAGUGGUUCUGUGAUCUUCAGGGAGCCAUGCAACACAAACCAUUCCAGCGUUGUGUGAUUUUAGAAGCUGGACGUGAGCCAGCAGUGUGUGCUGGCAGCCCGGAAGGCCAAGUGUGUUCUGGGCUGCGUUAAGAAAGAGGUGGCCAGCAGGGAGAGGGAGGUGGUUGUCCCCCUCUACUCAGCUCUUGUGAGGCCCCAUCUGGAGUACUGCACCCAGGCCUGGGGCCCUGUAUGAGACCUGUUGAACUGCAACUCCACCUGUGUGACCGGAAGGGGUGGAGCCAGGCUCCACCUCUCCUAAACCCCAUUUAAGGGCUGACUGCCACGGAGGAAGGAUCGCUCUCUGAAGAUCACUCCUCUUGGAGCCCUUUUGGCGAGCCCAGGACACGGGAGAUGAACUUGGUGCUCCCUUUCCGGAUGAUCGUUUGGAUCCGGAUUUUGUGCCUGUGCCUCUGGGACAACCCAGAGGCCCUGCUGGUGAAUCAGCAGAACAGAAUCCUGCCUCUGAGCCUGAAGGGGAUGCUGGAGAUGUGACUGGAGGAGGUGAUCCAGGUUCCGCUCUGAGCUCUGGGACUGAAACUCCGGCAGAUCGCAUGGGAGUGCCCCCAGGGAGGGCUUUGCCCGGUCAUGUGUUUCCUCCUGCGCUGGAGCCCAGCUGGAAUCCCAGCGGUCCGGAAAAAGGAAAGGAUGAAUCCAAAAGAGGAGAAUACUCCCAGGGCUCAUCCCGUCUCCUCAAGGAACUGGUGAAGGAAAUGGAGAAGGCAGCGCGUGGAACUGACCAACAAAGUGAGCAGGAUGCACUGCAGGAAGAAGGCAGCCAUCCCACACUGCCAGUCUCGGGCAGAGGAACGCAGGCAGCGCCAACAACUGUCAUGCCAGGGAUGAAUGCCGGGACGAGCACAAAGGCUGCUGUUGGCAGAUCUGCGCGAAGGCGCCACAUCGCAGCGAUGGUACUGUUCUCAGCUGUGCUGCUGUCUGCGCUGGUGCUGGCCUGUGGUGCUGUGAUAUGGAUGUGCCAAAAAUACGUAGUGUGCAAGAGAGAAGAGAGAGCAGCAGAGCAGGCUCAUCCUGAUACCAACUAGGAGAGAGUUCCAACUGGAGACGAGGGCAGAACGGAGCUGGGAGAGGCAGCCGAAGAGACUCUUGCCCCAUCAAAGAAGAAUCUCAGCCAUCGUCCCAGUGCAUUCCAUUCUGCCAUCCAAGAGGCCAAAGGUCUUCAAAGUCAUCUGGAAGACUUGGAGCUUGAACUCAAAGCCGUGAAAGAGGUCCACGGGAACAGUCCUGAGUGCUGCUUUCUGUCAGGGGACGGCCCUGAAAGUGAGAGCGGAGAACCAGCAGCAGAGCUUUUGUCCUUCACCCUGCAUUCUCUGGGACAAGCAUCAGCAACAUUUCAAAGAUUCUUAGCUCGGCAUAGCUACAAUCCUGUUGAGGGUCCUAAUGAGGAGCCAGAAAGCGAGCUUCCUCUGACCGCUGGACAACACCUUAACGUCUUUGGAGCUGUGGAUGAGAAUGGCUGGUUUCAGGGAGAGCUGACAGAUGGCACAAGAGGACUGGUCCCAUCCAAUUUGGUUGCGGAGGUUUCAGAUGACGAACUGGAUACAACGAUGCCUCCGGAGCUCUGUGCUCUCCUGCUGGAUACUUGAUGAAUAAGUGGAUGCAGAGAUUCCAUCAUGCAGCAACAUCCUGUCAAAAUUCCUGCGUUACUCCAUCUGCAAGACUACCCCCUGCUCCACUUGAUGUUCAGGUGGAGUGUGUGCAGGACGUGGAUGAGCUCCUUUGGGAACACUCUGAGGUGACUGACAGUGUAACUGCAUAGUCUUGUGGUAUAUUAAACAAACAAACAAACAAACACCACCCACAAUAAAACAAACAA